GACGAACGCUGGCGGCGUGCCUAAUACAUGCAAGUCGAGCGGACGGAUGGGAGCUUGCUCCCAGACCGUCAGCGGCGGACGGGUGAGUAACCCGUGGGCAACCUGCCUGUAAGACUGGGAUAACCCCGGGAAACCGGGGCUAAUACCGGAUAACUCUUUCCCUCCCAUGAGGGAAAGCUGAAAGAUGGCAUCUCGCUAUCACUUACAGAUGGGCCCGCGGCGCAUUAGCUAGUUGGUGAGGUAACGGCUCACCAAGGCGACGAUGCGUAGCCGACCUGAGAGGGUGAUCGGCCACACUGGAACUGAGACACGGCCCAGACUCCUACGGGAGGCAGCAGUAGGGAAUCUUCCGCAAUGGACGAAAGUCUGACGGAGCAACGCCGCGUGAGUGAUGAAGGUUUUCGGAUCGUAAAACUCUGUUGUCAGGGAAGAACAAGUACCGGAGUAACUGCCGGUACCUUGACGGUACCUGACCAGAAAGCCACGGCUAACUACGUG
This 498-nucleotide ribosomal RNA is filed under the name uncultured bacterium. Its description in RNAcentral is "partial 16S ribosomal RNA". It matches the Rfam family "Bacterial small subunit ribosomal RNA", at positions 28 to 507 of the family's 1533-position model. The record is from RNAcentral.